UAUGUCAAUGCUACUCUCUCAAUUUGCCUCGCAAGCAAGCUUGCUUUAAAAAUAACAUCUAGAACAACUCAACUGCAUGGCAGUUGAGUAUACAGUUCAUAAAAGUAUUCUACUAAUAUUUAUCAAUAUUUGCUGGACGUGUGAUAAGUGAUGGUUGACUCUUUCAAGCCAUCGAGGAAUUCGCGCUCCAAGUCCGGCGCUUUGGAAGCGCGUCACUUCCCUGGUGCGCGUGACACGCAUCACGUGGGCAUCACACAGCUGCGCUCUCCCAGCCCUCGAGGAGGAGGCUGAGGGUCACGUGAGAGUUUAGCAAGACAACCCUGGGGCCAAAAUGAUGCUGGUCAACAUGUGUGCUUAUCCCGUCCUUUCAGAAAGGAAAAAUGAUCAGCAUGCUGAGAUGGAUCCAACCCGGGGGAGAUGGUUCGAGCCUACAGAAAUUUCGCAAGAUGGGUUUCGCCACGUAUAAAUACACCGACUGACUUUGGAAAGAAUAAAGGCCAACCAGACCAGCGUAUCUUGAGGGAUCAUCACAUAUUCUCUCAUGGUCUAAAAGAUGCCUGGAAACCCAGCCAUGAUCAAAAGCUUUGCUGACUCGAGAGUGAUUAGGAGAUUCAGACUCCACCAUCACUGUGCGUCACUACAGAAUCCCCACCCCCGCCCCAGGCUCAUUCAACACACGUGCUUGGGUCCCCUCCAGGCCCUGGGGCAGCAGCAUCGUGAAGCAGCUCGGCUAUGAGGGGAAUGCACCCCGUUCCCCAGCACCCUCAGCCCAGUUCUGCUCUCCCAGGCCCAGACAGCCCAGUCAAUAUUUAUCCAGCAGGCCCAGCCUCAGCCAAAGCACA
Odocoileus virginianus texanus is the source of this 842-nucleotide non-coding RNA. The record is from RefSeq and is a predicted model, not a curated record. Lineage: Eukaryota; Metazoa; Chordata; Mammalia; Artiodactyla; Cervidae.